RNAcentral lists this ribosomal RNA (750 nucleotides) under uncultured bacterium. RNAcentral's name for it is "bacterial SSU rRNA". It matches the Rfam family "Bacterial small subunit ribosomal RNA", at positions 44 to 766 of the family's 1533-position model. The record is from RNAcentral.
AAGCCAUAGCAUGGCAGUCGACGAGGUGGCCCAUUGAAGUUGGAGUGCUUGCCAAAAAUGGAUUUGGAUUUUCCACCUAGUGGCAAACGGGUGAGUAACACGUGGGUUACCUGCCCUUAAGUUGGGGAUAACAGUUGGAAACGAUUGCUAAUACCGAAUGUGCUCUUCGGAGUAAAGAAGCCCUUAAAGCUUCGCUUAAGGAUGGGCCUGCGGUGCAUUAGCUUGUUGGUGGGGUAAUGGCCUACCAAGGCAACGAUGCAUAGCCGAACUGAGAGGUUGAUCGGCCACACUGGGACUGAGACACGGCCCAGACUCCUACGGGAGACAGCAGUUAGGAAUAUUCGUCAAUGGGGGAAACCCUGAACGAGCAAUGCCGCGUGAGUGAUGAAGGCCCUCUGGGUUGUAAAACUCUGUUGUUCGGAAAGAAUUGUGAGAUUAGGAAAUGAGUCUUACUUGACGGUACCAUUCAAGAAAGCCACGGCUAACUACGUGCCAGCAGCCGCGGUAAUACGUAGGUGGCGAGCGUUAUCCGGAUUUAUUGGGCGUAAAGCGUGCGCAGGCGGUUUGUUAAGUCUAAAAUCAAAGCCCGAAGCUUAACUUCGGUUCGUUUUAGAAACUGGCAGGCUUGAGUAUGGUAGAGGCAAACGGAAUUUCUAGUGUAGCGGUAAAAUGCGUAGAUAUUAGAAGGAACACCAGUGGCGAAGGCGGUUUGCUGGGCCAUUACUGACGCUCAUGCACGAAAGCGUGGGG